GAUGAACGCUGGCGGCGUGCCUAAUACAUGCAAGUCGAGCGAACGGACGAGAAGCUUGCUUCUCUGAUGUUAGCGGCGGACGGGUGAGUAACACGUGGAUAACCUACCUAUAAGACUGGGAUAACUUCGGGAAACCGGAGCUAAUACCGGAUAAUAUUUUGAACCGCAUGGUUCAAAAGUGAAAGACGGUCUUGCUGUCACUUAUAGAUGGAUCCGCGCUGCAUUAGCUAGUUGGUAAGGUAACGGCUUACCAAGGCAACGAUGCAUAGCCGACCUGAGAGGGUGAUCGGCCACACUGGAACUGAGACACGGUCCAGACUCCUACGGGAGGCAGCAGUAGGGAAUCUUCCGCAAUGGGCGAAAGCCUGACGGAGCAACGCCGCGGGAGUGAUGAAGGUCUUCGGAUCGUAAAACUCUGUUAUUAGGGAAGAACAUAUGUGUAAGUAACUGUGCACAUCUUGACGGUACCUAAUCAGAAAGCCACGGCUAACUACGUGCCAGCAGCCGCGGUAAUACGUAGGUGGCAAGCGUUAUCCGGAAUUAUUGGGCGUAAAGCGCGCGUAGGCGGUUUUUUAAGUCUGAUGUGAAAGCCCACGGCUCAACCGUGGAGGGUCAUUGGAAACUGGAAAACUUGAGUGCAGAAGAGGAAAGUGGAAUUCCAUGUGUAGCGGUGAAAUGCGCAGAGAUAUGGAGGAACACCAGUGGCGAAGGCGACUUUCUGGUCUGUAACUGACGCUGAUGUGCGAAAGCGUGGGGAUCAAACAGGAUUAGAUACCCUGGUAGUCCACGCCGUAAACGAUGAGUGCUAAGUGUUAGGGGGUUUCCGCCCCUUAGUGCUGCAGCUAACGCAUUAAGCACUCCGCCUGGGGAGUACGACCGCAAGGUUGAAACUCAAAGGAAUUGACGGGGACCCGCACAAGCGGUGGAGCAUGUGGUUUAAUUCGAAGCAACGCGAAGAACCUUACCAAAUCUUGACAUCCUUUGACAACUCUAGAGAUAGAGCCUUCCCCUUCGGGGGACAAAGUGACAGGUGGUGCAUGGUUGUCGUCAGCUCGUGUCGUGAGAUGUUGGGUUAAGUCCCGCAACGAGCGCAACCCUUAAGCUUAGUUGCCAUCAUUAAGUUGGGCACUCUAAGUUGACUGCCGGUGACAAACCGGAGGAAGGUGGGGAUGACGUCAAAUCAUCAUGCCCCUUAUGAUUUGGGCUACACACGUGCUACAAUGGACAAUACAAAGGGCAGCGAAACCGCGAGGUCAAGCAAAUCCCAUAAAGUUGUUCUCAGUUCGGAUUGUAGUCUGCAACUCGACUACAUGAAGCUGGAAUCGCUAGUAAUCGUAGAUCAGCAUGCUACGGUGAAUACGUUCCCGGGUCU
This 1372-nucleotide ribosomal RNA is filed under the name uncultured bacterium. RNAcentral describes it as "bacterial SSU rRNA". It matches the Rfam family "Bacterial small subunit ribosomal RNA", at positions 28 to 1381 of the family's 1533-position model. The record is from RNAcentral.